Molecule: ribosomal RNA, 216 nt
Filed under: uncultured Sphingobacteriales bacterium
Lineage: Bacteria; Pseudomonadati; Bacteroidota; Sphingobacteriia; Sphingobacteriales
Description: partial 16S ribosomal RNA
Rfam family: Bacterial small subunit ribosomal RNA
Source: RNAcentral
UACACAACCUUCCUACAAGUGGGGAAUAGCCCAGAGAAAUUUGGAUUAAUACCCCGUAACAUAUAAAGAUGGCAUCAUUUUUAUAUUAUAGCUACGGCGCUUGUUGAUGGGUGUGCGGCUGAUUAGGUAGUUGGCGGGGUAAUGGCCCCACCAAGCCUGCGAUCAGUAGCUGAUGUGAGAGCAUGAUCAGCCACACGGGCACUGAGACACGGCCCG